GGUCCUAUGGAAUAUGACAAAUAUCUUUGUAGCACUGUAGUACGAAUGGAACAUUGAACGUUUGUUGAUUAUGACUUCUGCUCAUUAAUGAUAUCACAAGCUGAUAAGAUAUAAACAAACUUUAUAGUUAUAAAGACUAGUAUUCUACAUGUCAUACACACUUAAAUUCUAAGCAUAAAUGUAUAUGUAUAAGUUAUACUUUUAUCUUUUAUUUCCAGUACAAUUAUGAUAGUUGAGUCUCAUUACAGUGUUAAUGAAAUUUUAAAAUGGCUUCUAUAACAUAAAUAAAAUAUUCAUAAGAGACUUCUACAACUGUUUAAAUAUUUUCACAAACUAUAUCUUAUCUUAAAAUUAAUAGCAACAAUAAGAAGCAAAACAAAGUGGAGCUAAUAUAUAUACGAGAAUUACGUUAAAUAGAAAUUUCACCUACAUGAUUAAAGAUCAUUAAAUCGCAUUAAAAGGCCAAUUAACGUCGCGUGAAUGAUUCGGAGAAUGAUUACUCCGUCGAACCAUGUUGUGAUAUAAACAGCUGAUGUAGAAUAAAUUUCAAACAAAUAUCAGCACCGAAAUAAAACGCCAGACAUGUUAAUGAUUUGCUGCAUGGCCAAAAUGGUUCUAACAACAGCGAGAUCUCACCUCGGGAUCAAACAGUUCGUUGCAUUUGGACACUUCCAGCUGUGAGUUAUGUGACUGUCGAAAGACCUCACGUUUUUCUUAACAUCUUAAAGUAGCGACGGGAAGCACACGACCAUCGUGUAACGUUCAUCGUGGUCCACUGACGCAAAAA
Long non-coding RNA from Bombus terrestris (buff-tailed bumblebee), 787 nucleotides. RefSeq lists it as uncharacterized. NCBI's taxonomy places the organism in Eukaryota, Metazoa, Arthropoda, Insecta, Hymenoptera, Apidae. The transcript has 2 exons. The record is from RefSeq and is a predicted model, not a curated record.